UACGUAGGCAGCGAGCGUUGUUCGGAGUUACUGGGCGUAAAGGGUGUGUAGGCGGUUGUUUAAGUUUGGUGUGAAAUCUCCCGGCUCAACUGGGAGGGUGCGCCGAAUACUGAAUGACUAGAGUGCGGGAGAGGAAAGUGGAAUUCCUGGUGUAGCGGUGAAAUGCGUAGAUAUCAGGAGGAACACCGGUGGCGAAGGCGGAUCUCUGGGCCUUACCUGACGCUGAGGCGCGAAAGCUAGGGGAGCAAACAGG
Molecule: ribosomal RNA, 253 nt
Filed under: uncultured bacterium
Lineage: Bacteria
Description: partial 16S ribosomal RNA
Rfam family: Bacterial small subunit ribosomal RNA
Source: RNAcentral